GGGGCAGUAGCUCAGCGGUUAGAGCUGCGGACUCAUAACCCGUAGGUCACAGGUUCAAAUCCUGUCUGCCCCAC
This 74-nucleotide transfer RNA is filed under the name Chlamydia pecorum. RNAcentral describes it as "tRNA-Met". It matches the Rfam family "tRNA". Rfam says of the family: Transfer RNA (tRNA) molecules are approximately 80 nucleotides in length. Their secondary structure includes four short double-helical elements and three loops (D, anti-codon, and T loops). Lineage: Bacteria; Pseudomonadati; Chlamydiota; Chlamydiia; Chlamydiales; Chlamydiaceae. The record is from RNAcentral. RNAcentral also lists the same sequence under 2 other names.